This 1155-nucleotide long non-coding RNA is filed under the name Equus asinus (donkey). RNAcentral's name for it is "lncRNA (ENSEASG00005024018.1)". Lineage: Eukaryota; Metazoa; Chordata; Mammalia; Perissodactyla; Equidae. The record is from RNAcentral.
AGUGACCUCUAGGGAAGGGGGACCGAGGAGGGGGAGGUGGUUUGAGGCUCCAUUCCUCCUCCGGGCCGGGCCAUCCAACUGCAGCGGGACCCGUGGGCCCCGGAAACGGACGACGAGUAGAGGCCGGGGAUCCGCGGCCGCCGGGGCUCAGAACGGUACAUAGUUGUGUAUUUUUAGUUGUGGGACCUUCUAGUUGUGGCAUGUGGGAUGCUGCCUAAGCAUGGCCUGAUGAGCGGUGCCAUGUCCGCGCCCAGGAUCUGAACCGGCGAAACCCUGGGCCGCCAAAGUGGAGCGCAUGAACUUAACCAUUCGGCCAUGGGGCUGGCCCCUAAAACUCUAUAUUUUAAAGAGAGAGAUGAUGCAUCCUGGAGGAAGGCGCCUUUGCCUUCCAUGCCAUAGGUGAGGCACCGUAAGCCAGUUGAACUCUGCAUCCAGAAAGCCCAAGAUUGAAGAAGAAAGAUCAGAGACGUUGACUAACCUGGAAACAGGGACCUCUUUGGAACUUUGUUUUCAUCCGCACUACCCUUUCAAAAGUAUCUUCGAACAGAAUUGAUUUCAUCUUAUUUUGCUUAUUGGGAAGAACAUGGCUUCAGGGAUUUUACAUUUCCCUUUAGUUUUGCAUGAACUCUAUAGGAAACAGAGCCCUUAAAGGGCUUGGGAAUAAUAAGAAGAGAUUGAAGACAGACAAGCUUGCUCUCUCUCUCCUAUUUUCCCUCCCCCUUCAAAGAAAAGGAUUUACAACUCAACCCUGUAACAGCUGCUGCCCAGCUUUAGCCAUCAAGAGAAAAUAAAUAAAAUUAAACCACCAUUGCCAGACGACAAGCCCUGAAGUCAAGGUGUGGGAGUGGUGGCAUUGAGAAAACUGCCUAAAAAGGACAAGGACUGCAGUAGAAACAGCUUCUCUAAAGCUGGAAGGGGCCCCAGGUUCCUUCAUGGAUUAAAAUAGAAUCACAGGGCACACCUCUUUUAGGUGCAGCUCACAUUUUGUGGAAGUGUGGUAGUCGUGGAGGUGCUGCAGUGUCUCCUCGGAAGAAUUUUUCCUUGCCCGAAGUGUCCUGCUCUGCCCUGAUAUUCUCCCCUUCUUUCCUUUUGAAGACUUGCCUCCAUCCAUGAGCUAUUCCUUGAUCUGUCUGACUGCCCAUGUUCUCCACCUGC